UACGUAGGCGCCAAGCGUUAUCCGGAUUCAUUGGGCGUAAAGGGUCCGCAGGCGGAUCUACAAGUCUGAUAUUAAAGGUCCCGGCUUAACCGGGAACAAGUGUUGGAAACUGUAGAUCUAGAGGCCGGUAGAGGUUAUCGGAACUUAUCGAGUAGGGGUAAUAUCCGUUGAUACGAUAAGGAACACCAAAGGCGAAGGCAGAUAACUGGGCCGGUCCUGACGCUCAUGGACGAAAGCGUGGGGAGCGAACGGG
RNAcentral lists this unclassified non-coding RNA (253 nucleotides) under uncultured Parcubacteria group bacterium. RNAcentral's name for it is "contains 16S-23S intergenic spacer region". It matches the Rfam family "Bacterial small subunit ribosomal RNA", at positions 524 to 776 of the family's 1533-position model. The record is from RNAcentral. RNAcentral also lists the same sequence under 1 other name.